AAUCAACGCUGGCGGCGUGCCUAACACAUGCAAGUCGAACGCGAAAGCCCUUUCGGGGGUAAGUAGAGUGGCGUCCGGGUGAGUAACACGUAGGUAAUCUGCCUUCGGGUGGGGAAUAACCAGUCGAAAGAUUGGCUAAUACCGCAUAAUGCAGCGGCACCUAAUGGUGAUUAGUUGUUAAAGCGGGGGAUCGUAAGACCUCGCGCCUGAAGAGGAGCCUGCGGCAGAUUAGCUAGNGGUGAGGUAAUGGCUCACCAAGGCUUCGAUCUGUAGCUGGUCUGAGAGGACGGCCAGCCACACUGGCACUGACACACGGGCCAGACUCCUACGGGAGGCAGCAGUGGGGAAUUUUGGGCAAGUGGGCGAAAGCCUGACCCAGCAACGCCGCGUGAGGGAGGAAAUCCUUCGGGA
RNAcentral lists this ribosomal RNA (411 nucleotides) under uncultured bacterium. RNAcentral describes it as "bacterial SSU rRNA". It matches the Rfam family "Bacterial small subunit ribosomal RNA", at positions 32 to 423 of the family's 1533-position model. The record is from RNAcentral.